This 444-nucleotide ribosomal RNA is filed under the name Fusobacterium periodonticum. Its description in RNAcentral is "bacterial SSU rRNA". It matches the Rfam family "Bacterial small subunit ribosomal RNA", at positions 28 to 497 of the family's 1533-position model. Lineage: Bacteria; Fusobacteriati; Fusobacteriota; Fusobacteriia; Fusobacteriales; Fusobacteriaceae. The record is from RNAcentral.
GAUGAACGCUGACAGAAUGCUUAACACAUGCAAGUCUACUUGAACUUCGGUUUGGGUGGCGGACGGGUGAGUAACGCGUAAAGAACUUGCCUUACAGUUAGGGACAACAUUUGGAAACGAAUGCUAAUACCUGAUAUUAUGAUCUUAGGGCAUCCUAAGAUUAUGAAAGCUAUAUGCACUGUGAGAGAGCUUUGCGUCCCAUUAGCUAGUUGGAGAGGUAACGGCUCACCAAGGCGAUGAUGGGUAGCCGGCCUGAGAGGGUGAACGGCCACAAGGGGACUGAGACACGGCCCUUACUCCUACGGGAGGCAGCAGUGGGGAAUAUUGGACAAUGGACCAAAAGUCUGAUCCAGCAAUUCUGUGUGCACGAUGACGUUUUUCGGAAUGUAAAGUGCUUUCAGUUGGGAAGAAAAAAAUGACGGUACCAACAGAAGAAGGACGGUA